CCGUUCGGGGGUAAACGGACAGAGCCCGUGAAUCCGGGCGCGCGGAAUUCAGGACCGACGAGCGUGCGACGCGCCCCAUCUCUUUUCGGGGGGGUGGGGUCGUCGCGCGAGCGUCGAUUCGAUAUUUCCGCCGCCGACCCGCUUAUCAACGGGUGCGGACGUCGCGACCCGUUCGCCGCCGGUCUCACGGGGCGCGCAUCAAGUUCGUCGCGCGUUCGUCGCCGCGUCCUCUUUCGGGGGGGCGCGAACGGCGGCGCGCGGCGAUGGCGCGCUUUUUCGCGGGCCGGCGUUUUGCGGACGGUAGCCUCGAGCGUGCGGGUAAUCGACGCGGCCGAUCGGCCGACGUUUCUCCGUCGUCGUCGUCGUUUCUUUCACGAGGGCGGCGGCGGUGGCGGGGCGUUGGUCGGGCGCGCGCGUCGACGCCGGUCAGCGACGAAUCUUCGGGCCUCUUUCCGACCCGUCUUGAAACACGGACCAAGGAGUCUAACGUGCGCGCGAGUCGCGGGGUAUCCGAGUCGGUAACGCGACUCGUCACGAUACAAAACCCGUGUGUACGUACGUUGUGCGAAGGCGUAAUGAAAGUGAAAGGCGCGCGCGUUCGCGCGCGCGUCGGGGAAGACGGCGUUUCCGAGUACACGUUUCUCGGUCGUACGGUACCGAGACCGGGCGCCCGCAUUCCCAGGGCGUCCCGCUCGUACGUCGGUGGCGCGGACGCGCGGUCGUUUCGGCGGCCGCGCGUCGACCGCCGACGAACUGGGGCGCACCUCUAGCGUGCACGUUGGUACCCGAAAGAUGGUGAACUAUGCCCGGCCAGGAUGAAGUCAGGGGAAACCCUGAUGGAGGUCCGCAGCGAUUCUGACGUGCAAAUCGAUCGUCUGAGCUGGGUAUAGG
Molecule: ribosomal RNA, 891 nt
Filed under: Eulecanium cerasorum
Lineage: Eukaryota; Metazoa; Arthropoda; Insecta; Hemiptera; Coccidae
Description: partial 28S ribosomal RNA
Rfam family: Eukaryotic large subunit ribosomal RNA (bases 474-891)
Source: RNAcentral